This 301-nucleotide ribosomal RNA is filed under the name uncultured bacterium. RNAcentral's name for it is "partial 16S ribosomal RNA". It matches the Rfam family "Bacterial small subunit ribosomal RNA", at positions 509 to 809 of the family's 1533-position model. The record is from RNAcentral.
CAGCCGCCACGGUAAUACGUAGGUGGCAAGCGUUGUCCGGAAUUAUUGGGCGUAAAGGGCUCGCAGGCGGUUUCUUAAGUCUGAUGUGAAAGCCCCCGGCUCAACCGGGGGGGGUCAUUGGAAACUGGGAAACUUGAGUGCAGGAGAGAAAAGUGAAAUUCCUAGUGUGGCGGUGAAAUGCGUAGAGAUUAGGAGGAACACCAGUGGCGAAGGCGGCUUUUUGGCCUGUAACUGACACUGAGGCGCGAAAGCGUGGGGAGCAAACAGGAUUAGAUACCCCCGUAGUCCCUGUCUCUUAUAA